Molecule: unclassified non-coding RNA, 346 nt
Filed under: soil metagenome
Description: partial contains 5.8S ribosomal RNA, internal transcribed spacer 2, and large subunit ribosomal RNA
Rfam family: 5.8S ribosomal RNA (bases 1-118)
Source: RNAcentral
UGAAGAACGCAGCAAAAUGCGAUAAGUAAUGUGAAUUGCAGAAUUCAGUGAAUCAUCGAAUCUUUGAACGCACAUUGCGCCCGCUGGUAUUCCGGCGGGCAUGCCUGUUCGAGCGUCAUUUCAACCCUCAAGCCCCCGGGUUUGGUGUUGGGGAUCGGCUCUGCCCUUCUGGGCGGUGCCGCCCCCGAAAUACAUUGGCGGUCUCGCUGCAGCCUCCAUUGCGUAGUAGCUAACACCUCGCAACUGGAACGCGGCGCGGCCAUGCCGUAAAACCCCAACUUCUGAAUGUUGACCUCGGAUCAGGUAGGAAUACCCGCUGAACUUAAGCAUAUCAAUAAGCGGAGGA